This 440-nucleotide ribosomal RNA is filed under the name uncultured bacterium. Its description in RNAcentral is "partial 16S ribosomal RNA". It matches the Rfam family "Bacterial small subunit ribosomal RNA", at positions 338 to 795 of the family's 1533-position model. The record is from RNAcentral.
CCUACGGGAGGCAGCAGUGGGGGAUAUUGCACAAUGGGGGCAACCCUGAUGCAGCGACGCCGCGUGAGUGAAGAAGCGUUUCGGUGUGUAAAGCUCUGUCAGCAGGGAAGAAAAUGACGGUACCUGACUAAGAAGCCCCGGCUAACUACGUGCCAGCAGCCGCGGUAAUACGUAGGGGGCAAGCGUUAUCCGGAUUUACUGGGUGUAAAGGGGGCGUAGACGGCGAGACAAGACAGAAGUGAAAGCCCGGGGCUCAACCCCGGGACUGCUUUUGAAACUGCGUGGCUGGAGUGCAGGAGAGGCAGGCGGAAUUCCUAGUGUAGCGGUGAAAUGCGUAGAUAUUAGGAGGAACACCAGUGGCGAAGGCGGCCUGCUGGACUGCAACUGACGUUGAGGCGCGAAAGCGUGGGGAGCAAACAGGAUUAGAUACCCCAGUAGUC